Molecule: ribosomal RNA, 77 nt
Filed under: Comamonadaceae bacterium CG17_big_fil_post_rev_8_21_14_2_50_60_13
Lineage: Bacteria; Pseudomonadati; Pseudomonadota; Betaproteobacteria; Burkholderiales; Comamonadaceae
Description: partial 16S ribosomal RNA
Rfam family: Bacterial small subunit ribosomal RNA
Source: RNAcentral
AGAUCGAACUAUAGAGUUUGAUCCUGGCUCAGAUUGAACGCUGGCGGCAUGCCUUACACAUGCAAGUCGAACGGCAG